This 70-nucleotide transfer RNA is filed under the name uncultured Dysgonomonas sp. It matches the Rfam family "tRNA". Rfam says of the family: Transfer RNA (tRNA) molecules are approximately 80 nucleotides in length. Their secondary structure includes four short double-helical elements and three loops (D, anti-codon, and T loops). Further hydrogen bonds mediate the characteristic L-shaped molecular structure. tRNAs have two regions of fundamental functional importance: the anti-codon, which is responsible for specific mRNA codon recognition, and the 3' end, to which the tRNAs corresponding amino acid is attached (by aminoacyl-tRNA synthetases). tRNAs cope with the degeneracy of the genetic code in two manners: having more than one tRNA (with a specific anti-codon) for a particular amino acid; and 'wobble' base-pairing, i.e. permitting non-standard base-pairing at the 3rd anti-codon position. Lineage: Bacteria; Pseudomonadati; Bacteroidota; Bacteroidia; Bacteroidales; Dysgonomonadaceae. The record is from RNAcentral.
GCGGGAUAGCUCAGCUGGUUAGAGCGCAUGAUUCAUAAUCAUGAGGUCGGGGGUUCAAGUCCCCCUCCCG